This is a long non-coding RNA of Malaclemys terrapin pileata, 978 nucleotides long. RefSeq lists it as uncharacterized. The record is from RefSeq and is a predicted model, not a curated record. NCBI's taxonomy places the organism in Eukaryota, Metazoa, Chordata, Testudines, Emydidae. The transcript is spliced from 3 exons.
AAGUGCUGAGCAGAUGCUACACUGUAAGGAGAGGAAAUAGAAGCAAAAACUGAAAGAAUGUUACUUACACUGGUGAACAGAUGUAGAGAGUGGAGACACAACAAAGCAAACAAAUGAAUACUGUGAGUAAAUAACAUGAAAGCAAAUGGGGGGGGGAACCCUCAUCUGGGUAAUUGUGGCUCUUGGCACAAAGAUCAGGUUCCUGGUACUAGCCUGGCUGAAAGCAUCCCUUAUCCCUGGAUCCCAGACCCGGGAUACAGAUGUCAUUCUCUGUGUGGUGUCCUUAUUUUACUCCUAGGAAAAGGAUCCCCAAAGGAGGUGUAAGGAUCCUGGACUGUGGUACCUGUAAGCAGCUUCAGCCACCUUCACAGGCUAGAGCUCACCAUCCAUUGUGGAGGUGAAGACCGGAUGGGAGCUGCUGGAUUGACUUUGAUGUGCCAUGUCCUUGUGUGGAUGAAAGACCUACGUCUCAGAGAUUGCCAGCAGCAGAUGUAACACGUGUCCAGGAAUAGGCUAAACAACCUACAGUGAUAGAUCUCAGCCGCUCAGCAGAAUGCAGGAGAGCUGAGUGCUGAUGGGCUAGAGGGGUCCCAGGAGUCGCUGUGCAGCAGGUGCAGUGUCUGCAGUCACCAUGGGCCAAACCCUGCGCUCCAGACAACCCAGGCUCUUUCUCUGGAUUGCGAAGGGGACUUUAGCUUUAGCCGUUUUCAUGUUUGCAAUUAAAGGAAGCCAGAUAUCUAGCUACUUGAGAGCCCCCUUGUUCCAGUCAGGCAGAAAAUCAGAGCUAGCAUGCGCACAAACCCUUACAGGGAAAAGAUGGAUUUUUAACCUAAAGCCAUACCCGGUUCAGCCACAUUUUCAUGACUUUCCAGAUGGGGCAGUGUAAGAAAUGGCUGGGCCUUUGCUUAAGAUUUGACUCACUGUGGAAUGGCACGUCACAUUACCCAGUGCUGGAUAACUAUGGACUGAAGGGCCUAU